CAAACACAAGGAUUGUUGGUGAUGGAAUCUAUCUUUUUCUCUUUGAAUAUUUGUCAAACACCUCAGCCAUAUCCCUUAAAAAUUUCAAAAAAUUAAUCCUAAUCUGGCAAGUGCAUAGGCUUCCGAGCUCAUCUUGAUAGUAAAUACCAACAAUUACCCAACUCGAGCAUCAUGGAGAUAGAGAAGAAGAGCACUAUGCCUAUUUCUUUGCUUAAGUCAUCUCAUUCUAAUUUUAUUAUUUAUUAUUUAAUAUAGAAGUGAGGGGAAAGAGAGAGAAAGCUCUAGAAGGGAAAAGAAAGAUAGAGUAUGUGGUUUGCUAAAAAAUCUAAGUAUGACGAUUAUAUUACCCUUGAAAAUGAACAUAUUUACAAACUUGCCAUUGGUCGUCCUCCUCUUCAUGUUUCUAUAUAACUUGAUGGUUCUUGCUCGUGCUAAGCACGGCCCAACAUUUAAAACUCUGAUAUAAUUUUAAUUGUGUUUGAUCUACCUAUGAAAUAUGUUUGAGAACCAACGCAGCAAAAAAUAUUUUAAAUAACUGUAAUUUCAAAAACACAAUAUCCAACAUUUAAUAAUGGAUCACAUUUCUUAGCUUGAACAAAAAAAGAAUCCACAUCAAAUAAGAAACAAGCGAGAUGCACCAUCAUUUUUCUUUCAAGUUUCAACAAUUAGUGCAAUAGUAAAUUGGUCAAACAUUCACAAUGUAGUAUCCAAAUUCAAAGCUUAUCAAACAUAUACAUAAUAAGAAGGCAAUCGAUUAUUAUUUUAUUACAUAGAUAUUGAAUGCACUACAUAAAAUCUACUUGUAAAUCACACUUCGUCGCUAUUCUUUAAGAAUUGACAAUUUAUUCUAUGCUACAUCAUCAA
This 864-nucleotide long non-coding RNA is filed under the name Solanum tuberosum (potato). RNAcentral describes it as "long non-coding RNA (STUB_LNC000046)". Lineage: Eukaryota; Viridiplantae; Streptophyta; Magnoliopsida; Solanales; Solanaceae. The record is from RNAcentral.